AGCAGCCGCGGUAAUUCCAGCUCCAAUAGCGUAUAUUAAAGUUGUUGCAGUUAAAAAGCUCGUAGUUGAAUUUCGGGAUCAAAGGAUCGGUCAUGCCUUGGUAUGUACUGGUUUUAUUGGUUCUCACCUUCUAAAGAACCAUAAUGUCAUUCAUUUGAUGUUAUGGGGAAUUAGGACUGUUACCUUGAAAAAUUAGAGUGUUUAAAGCAGGCUUACGCUUGAAUACAUUAGCAUGGAAUAAUGAAAUAGGACGUUUGAUUCUAUUUUGUUGGUUUCUAGGAUCGACGUAAUGAUUAAUAGGGAUAGUUGGGGGCAUUAGUAUUCAAUUGUCAGAGGUGAAAUUCUUGGAUUUAUUGAAGACUAACUACUGCGAAAGCAUUUGCCAAGGAUGUUUUCAUUAAUCAAGAACGAAAGUUAGGGGAUCGAAGACGAUCAGAUACCGUCGUAGUCUUAACCAUAAACUAUGCCGACUAGGGAUCGG
Molecule: ribosomal RNA, 481 nt
Filed under: uncultured Glomus
Lineage: Eukaryota; Fungi; Glomeromycota; Glomeromycetes; Glomerales; Glomeraceae
Description: SSU rRNA
Rfam family: Eukaryotic small subunit ribosomal RNA
Source: RNAcentral